This 862-nucleotide ribosomal RNA is filed under the name uncultured archaeon. RNAcentral describes it as "bacterial SSU rRNA". It matches the Rfam family "Archaeal small subunit ribosomal RNA", at positions 474 to 1337 of the family's 1478-position model. The record is from RNAcentral.
UACCCGCGGCCCGAGUGGUGCUCAUUAUUAUUGAGCCUAAAGCGUCCGUAGCUGGCCGGGCAAAUCUCCGGGUAAAUCGGGCCGCUCAACGGUCCGAAUUCCGGAGACACUGCUCGGCUUGGGAUCGGGAGAGGGUGAAGGUACUCCCGGGGUAGGGGUAAAAUCCUGUAAUCCUGGGGGGACCACCAGUGGCGAAGGCGUUCACCUAGAACGAAUCCGACAGUGAGGGGACGAAGCCCUAGGGCGCAAACGGGAUUAGAUACCCCGGUAGUCUAGGGUGUAAACGCUGCAGACUUGGUGUUGGGGGUCCUGCGUGGGCUCCCAGUGCCGGAGCGAAGGUGUUGAGUCUGCCGCUUGGGGAGUACGGUCGCAAGACUGAAACUUAAAGGAAUUGGCGGGAGAGCACCGCAACGGGAGGAGCGUGCGGUUCAAUUGGAUUCAACGCCGGAAAACUCACCGGAGGCGACGGAGGGAUGAAAGCCAGGCUGAAGACCUUGCCCGAUUCUCCGAGAGGUGGUGCAUGGCCGUCGUCAGUUCGUACCGUAAGGCGUUCUGUUAAGUCAGAUAACGAACGAGACCCUCGCCGUUAGUCGCGAUCUUACAAGCGAUUGUAGGAGCACACUAGCGGGAUCGCUGCCGUUAAGGCAGAGGAAGGAGAGGUCUACGGUAGGUCCGUAUGCCCCGAAUCUUCCGGGCAACACGCGCGCUACAAAGGUGGGGACAAUGGGACCCGACCUCGAAAGGGGGAGGCAAUCCUGAAACCCCAUCGUAGUCUGGAUCGAGGGCUGUAACUCGCCCUCGUGAAAAUGGAUUCCGUAGUAAUCGCGGGUCAACAUCCCGCGGUGAAUGUGCCCCUGCUCUU